This 253-nucleotide ribosomal RNA is filed under the name uncultured bacterium. RNAcentral describes it as "partial 16S ribosomal RNA". It matches the Rfam family "Bacterial small subunit ribosomal RNA", at positions 524 to 776 of the family's 1533-position model. The record is from RNAcentral.
UACGGAGGGUGCAAGCAUUAAUCGGAAUUAUUGGGCGUAAAGGGCGCGUAGGCGGAUUUGUAAGUCAGAUGUGAAAUACCGAAACUUAAUUUCGGUGCUGCAUUUGAAACUGCAAGUCUUGAGGGUAGACGGAGAAAACGGAAUUCCACAUGUAGCGGUGAAAUGCGUGGAUAUGUGGAAGAACACCUGUGGCGAAAGCGGUUUUCUAGUUUAUUCCUGACGCUGAGGCGCGAGAGCAAGGGGAGCAAACAGG